This 76-nucleotide transfer RNA is filed under the name Salmonella sp. FORC89. RNAcentral describes it as "tRNA-Lys". Lineage: Bacteria; Pseudomonadati; Pseudomonadota; Gammaproteobacteria; Enterobacterales; Enterobacteriaceae. The record is from RNAcentral.
UUUGCUCCGGUUUGAGUCGGGAGUCGCGCAGCGCCUGCUCAAUGGGCGUGCGCAGCCGGUUGAGCAACGGUAGCCA